AAGGAACAUUACUUUGACUGGUGAUUUUUUAAAUAUUUUUUUCCCCCUCCUGCGUUUAGGUUUUCUGAGGCCAAAAAUGUGUAAAACAAGAAAUAAAAUUGGUCUGGCCUUAUAGUAGCAAUGUUGCAAAUUGAAGAGA
Long non-coding RNA from Haliotis rubra (blacklip abalone), 139 nucleotides. RefSeq lists it as uncharacterized. The record is from RefSeq and is a predicted model, not a curated record. The transcript is spliced from 3 exons. NCBI's taxonomy places the organism in Eukaryota, Metazoa, Mollusca, Gastropoda, Lepetellida, Haliotidae.